Long non-coding RNA from Pistacia vera, 714 nucleotides. RefSeq lists it as uncharacterized. The record is from RefSeq and is a predicted model, not a curated record. Lineage: Eukaryota; Viridiplantae; Streptophyta; Magnoliopsida; Sapindales; Anacardiaceae. The transcript has 4 exons.
GCCUGGAAAAGUUUGAACAAAGGCCUUGCACAACUGUUGCAUGUUAUUCCUGUUUAUGGUUGCAGUGAGUGCUUGGAAAUUCAUGCUGCCCAGAGUGGUCACCACAUUCAGAUCUGCCAUGGUACAACCAGCCAAAUGUACAAUUGAGGUCAUUGGUUCCUCAUGAUUUCCUUUGUUUCUCGUUUACAUUCUGAGUACUGGAUAUUAAGGUUUUUGAGGAUCUUAAAGUUGACUUGAAGACCGAGGCUAAGAAGACUGCGGGCACCACAGCUACUACAACCAUAACAAAAAGAAGGUCACAAUGGAUAGAAGAUUAAACAGUUGGAGGACCAGCUAAUCUUAUUUGAUCAACAAAAAGAGAAAAUAAAAAGCCUUGAACACCAACAAUUGGUCCUGUUAGAGAUGAUGAAGCAGCUAACUAUAGCCCUUGAACUAGAGAAAUCUGAUAAAGCUCCAACUCGACAGCACUUGCCUUCUCGAACUGAUGAAGACUCGUCCUCAUCAACUACAGCUAUUUCAAAUACCGGAACUGGUGACACUUGACGUGCUAACGGUAUUGAUGGUUAUUUUUGUGUUGUAUGGACAAUAGAUAUUUUGACAUGGGGGUAGAACCAUCUUUUUAGGAUUGUUUGCAUAUAUGUGUUAGAUGGUGUACAUGGGGUGGGCAUUUUUUUGUUAGUUAUGCACAGAUAGAUAGGUAGAAAAAGGAAAAUG